Molecule: ribosomal RNA, 207 nt
Filed under: uncultured bacterium
Lineage: Bacteria
Description: partial 16S ribosomal RNA
Rfam family: Bacterial small subunit ribosomal RNA
Source: RNAcentral
GACGAACGCUGGCGGCGUGCUUAACACAUGCAAGUCAAGGACCGUAGCAAUACGGGACUGGCGCACGGGUGCGGAACACGUAGGCAAUCUGCCCUCCAGGGGAGAACAACCAGCCGAAAGGUUGGCUAAAUCUCCGUAAAAUACAUAGAGUGGCAUCACUUAUUGAUCAAGUUUCUGAAGGAUGAGCCUGCGUCUGAUUAGCUAGUU